AAAAGGAUGAAAAGUCAUCAAGUUUUAAAAUGGCAGAUGGCGACGAAAACAAGUCCGAAGUUGACAAUAAAGAAGAAAAGGCAGCUGCAGAUGAGAAAGAGGAACCAGAGGAAACUGAGACUGAUGGAACUGAAACUGAAGAAAAGCCUCAAGAGGCAGAAAAUGAAGGAGGCGAACCUGAAGAACCUACUCCUCCACCAUAUACCCUUGAAACAGCCUUUGAAGAUAUUGAAC
This 234-nucleotide long non-coding RNA is filed under the name Gossypium barbadense (sea-island cotton). RNAcentral's name for it is "long non-coding RNA (GBAR_LNC019738)". Lineage: Eukaryota; Viridiplantae; Streptophyta; Magnoliopsida; Malvales; Malvaceae. The record is from RNAcentral.